This 2367-nucleotide ribosomal RNA is filed under the name Triticum aestivum (bread wheat). RNAcentral describes it as "partial small subunit ribosomal RNA". The record is from RNAcentral. Lineage: Eukaryota; Viridiplantae; Streptophyta; Magnoliopsida; Poales; Poaceae.
AUGGAGCCGGAGUCCGCCGACGAUGCGGCGCUCGCCGGUUGCAAGGACAAGUUGAAGCACUUCCGAAUAAAAGAGCUAAAAGAUGUCCUGCAUCUGCUUGGACUUUCAAAGCAAGGAAAGAAGCAGGAAUUGGUGGAUAAAAUCUUAACAAUACUAUCUGAUCAACAAGAUCAAGUAUCACAACUGAAUGGCUUAACAAAGAAACCGGCGGUUGAAAAAGAAACCGUGUUGAAAAUAGUUGAUGAAACCUUUAGGAAACUGCACAGUCCUGCAAAUUCUGCUGCAGCCUCACCAAAUCAGAUUGAUUCAGGACAAAGUGUAAAGCCUAAAAAAAAGUUAAAUGGUUCUGCUCAAAAGGAUGUCAAUGUCCGUUGUCCUUGUGGUAGCUCCAUCGCCAAUGGAUCCAUGAUAAAGUGUGAUAAUCCACAAUGCAAUGUCUGGCAACAUGUUGGUUAUGUUAUCAUAUCCGAGAAGUCUGCAGAGAGUGUUCCUCAGGAAUUACCUUCCAGCUUCUACUGUGACAUCUGUCGAAUAAAUAAGGCCGAUCCUUUCUGGGUCACUAUCAAUCAUCCAUUACUUCCAACAUCAAUAGCUCCUUCCAAAAUAGCGACUGAUGGGUCAUAUACUAUACAGUAUCUCGAGAAAACCUUUCCAUUAUCAAGAGCUAAUAGGGAAAUGCUACAGAAAGCCGAAUAUGACAUUCAGGUUUGGUGUAUCCUUCUUGAUGACCAAGUUCCUUUCAGGAUGCAAUGGCCUUUACACUCAGAUAUGCAAAUUAAUGGUGUUCAAGUCAGGGUUGUUAAUCGGCAACCUACACAGCAGUUAGGGGCCAAUGGUAGAGAUGAUGGUCCUGUAUUAACGGAAUAUUGCAAAGAAGGACCUAAUAAAAUUGUUCUAUCUAGAAGUGACUCCCGCAUGUUCUCUUUGGGUGUUAGAAUUGCCAAGAGGAGGUCUCUGCAAGAGGUCCUAAAUUUGGUGCCGAAGGAACAUGAUGGCGAGAAGUUUGAUCAUGCCCUUGCUCGUGUGCGGCGUUGUGUUGGUGGUGGAGCUGAGGCAGAUAAUGCUGACAGUGAUAGUGAUAUUGAGGUUGUGGCUGACAGGGUCUCUGUGAAUCUCCGAUGUCCGAUGACUGGUUCAAGGAUUAAGAUAGCUGGCAGGUUUAAACCCUGUGUCCACAUGGGUUGCUUUGAUUUAGAAGCUUUUGUGGAACUUAAUCAACGUUCACGGAAGUGGCAAUGCCCAAUUUGCCUGAAGAAUUAUUCUCUGGACGACAUAAUCAUUGACCCAUAUUUCAACCGGAUCACUUCACUGAUCCAAAGCUGUGAAGAUGAUGUAUCUGAAAUUGAUGUCAAGCCUGAUGGUUCCUGGAGAGUUAAGGGUGGAGCUGAACUGAAGGAUCUUACGCGGUGGCAUUUACCAGAUGGUGCUCUCUCUGUAGCCACCAACAUAGGGUCCAAGAUCAACACGAGUAUUGUAAAGCAUGAGAUUAAAGAGGAGUCUCUGUCUGACCAGCUGGGCUCCCGUAUCAAGUUGGGAAUUAGAAAAAACAACAACGGCAAGUGGGAAAUUACGAAGAGAGGGGAUGUUAACUCGACACAAUCUUCUGAUGGUGACCACGCAGAGCACUUUAAAAAUGGAAACUUUAUUACUCCUACAAGCAAUAAUGAUCAUGAGGACACUGAAGAUUUGGAACCAGGACAAUAUGAUUACCCUAUGAGCAAUGUACAUGAUCUUGAUUCUUCUCCUAUAGACGAACAUGUCCCUGCAGUAUCAAGAGAGCAAGAUAUAAUAGUUCUGAGCGACUCUGAUGAUGAUAACGUCACGGUGUUGUCUCCUAAUGCUUUGAAUUCCAGCUCAGCAGAUGACACUGGAGUUCCAUUUACACCCAAUCCACCUGAAACUAAAGGAACGUCUGAGGAACAACCUGGAGGUGGUCUAGAUGAGGCUUCAUAUCUUAUGUUCAGCGAAGAUUUUGAUGAUCUGGGACAACUCUCAUUUUGGCAGUAUCCUUCAAAUCCCCAGGAUCAUCCUGGCUUACAGUUGACAAAUAAUUUAGGUGAAGUGCAAAACAAUACUGCCAACCAUCAACCUCUGCAUGAGCCAGUAGCAGCAGCAGCAAACCUACUGGAACAUGGACAUAAUAAUUGCAUUGAUGAAAGCCAAGCAUCGAUUGCAAGUAAUUGCGUUACUGCCAAGAAAGCGUCUCAGAAAAGGAGGAACCCUGAGGAUGAAAUAACAGCUUUAGAUGCUUCAGCUAUGGAUGAUGACUUGCCUGGGGAGAGACCUGGUGGUCCUUUGUCACCGGCUCGGCAGCAAAGGUCAGUUCGACCAAGAUUGGUACUAGCAAUCGACUCAGACUCUGAAUAG